Oncorhynchus tshawytscha (Chinook salmon) is the source of this 324-nucleotide long non-coding RNA. NCBI's taxonomy places the organism in Eukaryota, Metazoa, Chordata, Actinopteri, Salmoniformes, Salmonidae. The record is from Ensembl.
GGGGGUACCAGUAAUGAGUAAUGAUAACAUGGCUUUAUACUGGGGGUCCCAGUACUGAGUAAUGAUAACAUGGCUUUAUACAGGGGUACCAGUACUGAGUAAUGAUAACAUGGCUUUAUACAGGGUACCAGUACUGAGUAAUGAUAACAUGGCUUUAUACAGGGGGUACCAGUACUGAGUAAUGAUAACAUGGCUUUAUACAGGGGGUACCAGUACUGAGUAAUGAUAACAUGGCUUUAUACAGGGGGUACCAGUAAUGAGUAAUGAUAACAUGGCUUUAUACACAGGGUACCAGUACUGAGUAAUGAUAACAUGGCUUUAUAC